RNAcentral lists this transfer RNA (72 nucleotides) under Dasypus novemcinctus (nine-banded armadillo). Its description in RNAcentral is "tRNA-Tyr (GTA) (tRNA-Tyr-GTA-4-1)". It matches the Rfam family "tRNA". From Rfam's summary of the family: Transfer RNA (tRNA) molecules are approximately 80 nucleotides in length. Their secondary structure includes four short double-helical elements and three loops (D, anti-codon, and T loops). The record is from RNAcentral. Lineage: Eukaryota; Metazoa; Chordata; Mammalia; Cingulata; Dasypodidae.
GGGGGUAUAGCUCAAGGGUAGAGCACUUGACUGUAUGUCAAGAGGUUCCUGGUUCAAAUCUGGGUGCCCCCU